GUGCUCAAACUCAGCUAUCUGCAGUUGCUGCCCCUGCAGCAAAGAAAGGUACGAAAAGGUACAAGUCAACCGUAUCAAAUCCGUACCAGACCCUCGCUACUGCUCUUGAACCACCUUCUGAAGAUGAUGAGGCCGAGCCAGAUGAUCAAGUGGCUGACCAACCACCUCCGGCCCCUGUUAUUAAACUGCCUAGGAAGAAAAUGGUGCCUACAAAAUCCACUCGCAGGAGUAAACGACUUAAAUAGCAUCUCAUCUGGA
RNAcentral lists this unclassified non-coding RNA (258 nucleotides) under Hevea brasiliensis (rubber tree). Lineage: Eukaryota; Viridiplantae; Streptophyta; Magnoliopsida; Malpighiales; Euphorbiaceae. The record is from RNAcentral.